UCCCUGGUGGCUCAGAGGGUAAAGAAUCUGCCUUCAAUGCAGGAGACCCAGGUGCAAUCCCUGGGUUGGGAA
Non-coding RNA from Bos taurus (domestic cattle), 72 nucleotides. NCBI's taxonomy places the organism in Eukaryota, Metazoa, Chordata, Mammalia, Artiodactyla, Bovidae. The record is from Rfam.